AUUGAGAACGCUACCCAUAGACCAUAGUCCUCGCACACCCAAUACUACAGGGCUUAAUUCGAGUAGUGACAACCAACCAGGUUUGCAGCCAGGUGCAAAGGAUACAGAAGAAGAUUAGAAGACUCCAGGAUGGACAGAGUUGCUAGAGGGUCGCUAUGAGUCGGGAUUGCCUUGAUGACAACGGGGUACAACCAUCACCACUAUCAAUUCUAGAAGAUUUUCAUCACCCCCAAAAGAAAUUCCAUACCCUUUAGCAGCCACUCCCCAUUUCUCUCAAGGACUCUAGCUCUGGCAACCACUAAUCUACUUUCUGUCCCUAUGGAUGUACCUAUUUUUUUAAUAAAUAGAAUCAUACUA
This is a long non-coding RNA of Loxodonta africana (African savanna elephant), 357 nucleotides long. RefSeq lists it as uncharacterized. NCBI's taxonomy places the organism in Eukaryota, Metazoa, Chordata, Mammalia, Proboscidea, Elephantidae. The record is from RefSeq and is a predicted model, not a curated record. The transcript has 3 exons.